GAAGAACAUGCCCUUGUUGUUCUCUUACUCUUUAAGACAUGGAAGAUUAAGGGAAAAGAUGAGGAAGUAGGAGACAAGAGAGAUACACACUGAUGUGAGGCUAUAGGUAUAGAUGGCUGAGAAAAUUCAGACCCAGGCUCACCGCUGGGCUCCCACAUUUGUCAUAGCAGCACAUUCAAAGGCAAAGUGGCGGGAAAUAAGCUAAGACAUCACCAGGAGACAUUUGAAUCCAGAAGGGAGUCGUGUCAUCGUGAAGUAAUGGACUCCUGUAGGAAAGAAUAAACUUGGUCAUCCGUAGAGUAACGACAAUCUUUCACAAAGCAUGCCAAUUAAAAACCACUACAUGCUA
This 349-nucleotide long non-coding RNA is filed under the name Mus spretus (western wild mouse). Its description in RNAcentral is "lncRNA (ENSMSPG00010027458.1)". The record is from RNAcentral. Lineage: Eukaryota; Metazoa; Chordata; Mammalia; Rodentia; Muridae.